This 491-nucleotide ribosomal RNA is filed under the name uncultured bacterium. RNAcentral's name for it is "partial 16S ribosomal RNA". It matches the Rfam family "Bacterial small subunit ribosomal RNA", at positions 29 to 506 of the family's 1533-position model. The record is from RNAcentral.
AGUGAACGCUGGCGGUAGGCCUAACACAUGCAAGUCGAACGGCAGCACAGUAAGAGCUUGCUCUUACGGGUGGCGAGUGGCGGACGGGUGAGGAAUACAUCGGAAUCUACUUUUUCGUGGGGGAUAACGUAGGGAAACUUACGCUAAUACCGCAUACGACCUACGGGUGAAAGCAGGGGAUCUUCGGACCUUGCGCGAUUGAAUGAGCCGAUGUCGGAUUAGCUAGUUGGCGGGGUAAAGGCCCACCAAGGCGACGAUCCGUAGCUGGUCUGAGAGGAUGAUCGGCCACACUGGAACUGAGACACGGGCCAGACUCCUACGGGAGGCAGCAGGGGGGAAUAUUGAACAAGGGGCGCAAGCUGGAUCCAGCCAGACCGCGGGGGUGAAGAAGGCCUUCGGGUGGUAAAGCCCUUUGGUUGGGAAAGAAAAGCAGCAGGUUAAUACCCCGCUGUUCGGACGGUACCCAAAGAAUAAGCACCGGCUAACUUCGG